This 449-nucleotide ribosomal RNA is filed under the name uncultured bacterium. RNAcentral's name for it is "bacterial SSU rRNA". It matches the Rfam family "Bacterial small subunit ribosomal RNA", at positions 328 to 794 of the family's 1533-position model. The record is from RNAcentral.
CCCCCAGACUCCUACGGGAGGCAGCAGUGGGGGAUAUUGCACAAUGGGGGAAACCCUGAUGCAGCGACGCCGCGUGAGUGAAGAAGUAUUUCGGUAUGUAAAGCUCUAUCAGCAGGGAAGAAAAUGACAGUACCUGACCAAGAAGCCCCGGUUAACUACGUGCCAGCAGCCGCGGUAAUACGUAGGGGGCAAGCGUUAUCCGGAUUUACUGGGUGUAAAGGGGGCGCAGACGGCGAUGCAAGCCAGGAGUGAAAGCCCGGGGCCCAACCCCGGGACUGCUCUUGGAACUGCGUGGCUGGAGUGCAGGAGGGGCAGGCGGAAUUCCUGGUGUAGCGGUGAAAUGCGUAGAUAUCAGGAGGAACACCGGUGGCGAAGGCGGCCUGCUGGACUGCAACUGACGUUGAGGCCCGAAAGCGUGGGGAGCAAACAGGAUUAGAUACCCCGGUAAC